AUUGAACGCUGGCGGCAUGCCUUACACAUGCAAGUCGAACGGCAGCACGGGAGCAAUCCUGGUGGCGAGUGGCGAACGGGUGAGUAAAGUAUCGGAACGUGCCCAGUCGUGGGGGAUAACGUAGCGAAAGUUACGCUAAUACCGCAUACGAUCUAUGGAUGAAAGCGGGGGAUCGCAAGACCUCGCGCGAUUGGAGCGGCCGAUAUCAGAUUAGGUAGUUGGUGGGGUAAAGGCUCACCAAGCCGACGCUCUGUAGCUGGUCUGAGAGGACGACCGACUCCACUGGCACUGCGACACGGCCCAGACUCCUCCGGUAGGCAGCUGUGGGGAAUUUUGGACAAUGAGAGAAAGCCUGUUCCAGCCAUGCUUCGUGCAGGAUGAAGGCCUUCGGGUUGUAACCUGCUUUUGUACGGAACGAAAAGGUUUGGCAUAAUAAGCGGAGCUCUUGAAGGUACCGGAAGAAUAAGCACCGGCUAACUUCGUCCCAGCCGCCGCCGCCG
RNAcentral lists this ribosomal RNA (500 nucleotides) under uncultured bacterium. RNAcentral describes it as "partial 16S ribosomal RNA". It matches the Rfam family "Bacterial small subunit ribosomal RNA", at positions 30 to 523 of the family's 1533-position model. The record is from RNAcentral.